This 401-nucleotide unclassified non-coding RNA is filed under the name soil metagenome. Its description in RNAcentral is "partial contains 5.8S ribosomal RNA, internal transcribed spacer 2, and large subunit ribosomal RNA". The stretch from base 1 to 121 matches the Rfam family "5.8S ribosomal RNA", at positions 35 to 154 of the family's 154-position model. The record is from RNAcentral.
GAUGAAGAACGUAGCGAAAUGCGAUAAGUAAUGUGAAUUGCAGAAUUCAGAGAAUCAUCGAAUCUUUGAACGCACCUUGCGCCCUUUGGCCAUUCCGAAGGGCAUGCCUGUUUGAGUAUCAUGAACACCUCAACUCUCAUGGCUUGCCAUGAUGAGCUUGGACUUUGGGGGUCUUGCUGGCCUGUGGUCGGCUCCUCUCAAAUGAAUCAGCUUGCCAGUGUUUGGUGGCAUCACAAGUGUGAUAACUAUCUGCGCUCGUGGUUUCCAUCAGAUAACCUCCAGUGAUGGAGGUUCGCUGGGGCUCAUAAAUGUCUCUCCUAAGUGAGGACAGCUCUUUUAAUGUUUGAUCUCAAAUCAGGUAGGACUACCCGCUGAACUUAAGCAUAUCAAUAAGUGGAGGA